Nycticebus coucang (slow loris) is the source of this 424-nucleotide long non-coding RNA. RefSeq lists it as uncharacterized. NCBI's taxonomy places the organism in Eukaryota, Metazoa, Chordata, Mammalia, Primates, Lorisidae. The record is from RefSeq and is a predicted model, not a curated record. The transcript has 3 exons.
GGCGAUUGAGGUUGAAAAGACUGCAGGGGCAGGACUCGAAGGGGCGCUGAGAGGAUGGGUCAGGGGACCUGACCGCUGACCGCUGACCGGAGGCUGCGUGCCCAGGAAAGAGGAGGGUCUUGGAUAAUGAAUUUUCAGAUGACAAGGACUAUUUCUCCAUUUGCCUCCUUAUUCCUAGCCUGCCUUGGAGAGGAACAAGUGAGGCUGAAUAAUUUUUCAGGUGAAGACACUGGGCUCAGAGAAGAGAAGUCGUUUAUUUAAAGUAACAGUGUUGCAGCGGGGACAAGAACCUGGUUGCCUCAGUUCUCACCAAGCCCUUCUUACUCCACCACAGUGCCCUGUCUUCCUUCCUUAAGGACCGUGGCUGCCACCAGGACAAAUCUGGCUGGCCUGAGAUGGAGAAGUUCUGAGCUGAGAAGCCUGG